Long non-coding RNA from Myotis brandtii (Brandt's bat), 111 nucleotides. RefSeq lists it as uncharacterized. The record is from RefSeq and is a predicted model, not a curated record. Lineage: Eukaryota; Metazoa; Chordata; Mammalia; Chiroptera; Vespertilionidae. The transcript has 3 exons.
CGGGGGCCUGUGACAGCACUUCUGUCUGGGAGAAAGCUGCCCCCCUCCCCACUGCUGUCACCCUGAAGCUGGACAAUUCAGUUCCACCCCUAUGUCCCUGAUGCCUUUCAA